RNAcentral lists this ribosomal RNA (253 nucleotides) under uncultured bacterium. RNAcentral describes it as "partial 16S ribosomal RNA". It matches the Rfam family "Bacterial small subunit ribosomal RNA", at positions 524 to 776 of the family's 1533-position model. The record is from RNAcentral.
UACGUAGGGGCCGAGCGUUGUCCGGAGUUAUUGGGCGUAAAGCGCGCGCAGGCGGCCUCGCGCGCCCGACGUGAAAGCCCCCGGCUUAACCGGGGAGGGUCGUUGGGGACGGCGGGGCUUGAGGGCGGGAGAGGGUGGUGGAAUUCCCGGUGUAGUGGUGAAAUGCGUAGAGAUCGGGAGGAACACCCGUGGCGAAGGCGGCCACCUGGGCCGAUCCUGACGCUGAGGCGCGAAGGCGUGGGGAGCGAACGGG